RNAcentral lists this ribosomal RNA (433 nucleotides) under uncultured bacterium. Its description in RNAcentral is "partial 16S ribosomal RNA". It matches the Rfam family "Bacterial small subunit ribosomal RNA", at positions 28 to 507 of the family's 1533-position model. The record is from RNAcentral.
AGCGAACGCUGGCGGCAGGCUUAACACAUGCAAGUCGAGCGGGCCCUUCGGGGUCAGCGGCAGACGUGUGAGUAACACGUGGGAACUUACCCUUUGGUUCGGAAUAACGCUGGGAAACUAGCGCUAAUACCGGAUACGCCCUUUUGGGGUAGGGCUUGCUGCGGCAGGAUCGGCCUUCGUCUGAUUAGCUAGUUGGUGGGGUAAUCGCAUGCCAAGGCGACGAUCAGGAGCUGGUCUGAGAGGAUGAUAAGCCACGCUGGGACUGAGACCCGGCCCAGACUCCGACGGGAGGGAGCAGAGGGGAAUAUUGGACGCGGGGCGCAAGUGUGAUCCAGCCAUGCGGGGGGAGUGAUGCAGGCCUUAGGGUUGUAAAGCUCUUUUGUACGGGACGAUAAUGACGGUACCGGAUGAAUAAGCCCCGGCUAACUUCGUG